Molecule: non-coding RNA, 69 nt
Organism: Ictidomys tridecemlineatus (thirteen-lined ground squirrel)
Lineage: Eukaryota; Metazoa; Chordata; Mammalia; Rodentia; Sciuridae
Source: Rfam
GGAGGUGUAGCUCAGUAUAGCAUUUACCUCUUGUGCAAAAGGUCCUGGGUUCAAUCCCCAGCACCACAA